UGAAUACGAGAUGCUACGGCGUCGAAGCAGUCUAUGUCAUACUUCCAAGAAAAGCUUGCACUGUCAUAAACAAAUAAUGCCUGUACCAUAACCGACACAGGUGGGUAGGUAGAGUAUACUAAGGGGCGCGAGAUAACUCUCUCUAAGGAACUCGGCAAAAUGACUCCGUAACUUCGGGAGAAGGAGUGCCUUAUUUAUAAGGUUGCAAUAACAAGACCCAAGCAACUGUUUAUCAAAAACACAGGUCUCCGCUAAGUCGUAAGACGAUGUAUGGGGGCUGACGCCUGCCCAGUGCCAGAAGGUUAAAGAAGUUGGUUAGCAUUAGCGAAGCUGAUGACUGAAGCCCUGGUGAACGGCGGCCGUAACGAUAACGGUCCUAAGGUAGCGAAAUUCCUUGUCGGGUAAGUUCCGACCCGCACGAAAGGCGUAAUGAUUUGGGUACUGUCUCAGAGAGGGACUCGGUGAAAUAGACUUGUCUGUGAAGAUGCGGACUACCUGCACCUGGACAGAAAGACCCUAUGAAGCUUUACUGUAACCUGAAAUUGAAAUUGGACUUUAUUUGCGCAGUAUAGGUGGGAGGCUUUGAAGAUAUUCUUGCGGGAAUGUUGGAGCCAUCAGUGAGAUACCACUCUUGUAAUGUUAGAUUUCUAACUUUGUAUCAUUAUCUGGUCAAAGAACAGUUUCAGGCGGGCAGUUUGACUGGGGCGGUCGCCUCCUAAACGGUAACGGAGGCGCACAAAGGUUUCCUCUGAACGGGUAGAAAUCGUAUCUAGAGUGUAAAGGCAUAAGGAAGCUUGACUGUGAGACCUACAAGUCGAGCAGGGACGAAAGUCGGUCUUAGUGAUCUGACGGUGCUGAGUGGAAAGGCCGUCACUCAACGGAUAAAAGUUACUCUAAGGAUAACAGGCUGAUCUCCCCCAAGAGUUCACAUCGACGGGGAGGUUUGGCACCUCGAUGUCGGCUCAUCGCAUCCUGGGGCGGUAGUACGUCCCAAGGGUUGGGCUGUUCGCCCAUGAAAGCGGUACGCGAGCUGGGUUCAGAACGUCGUGAGACAGUUCGGUCCAUAUCCGGUGUAGGCGUUAGAAUAUUGAGAGGAGCCUCCUCUAGUACGAGAGGACCGAGAAGGACACACCUCUGGUGUACCAGUUAUCGUGCCAACGGUAAACGCUGGGUAGCUAUGUGUGGAGCGGAUAACCGCUGAAAGCAUCUAAGUGGGAAGCCCACCUCAAGAUAAGUAUUCUCAUC
This 1245-nucleotide ribosomal RNA is filed under the name metagenome. Its description in RNAcentral is "bacterial LSU rRNA". It matches the Rfam family "Bacterial large subunit ribosomal RNA", at positions 1564 to 2818 of the family's 2925-position model. The record is from RNAcentral.